Molecule: transfer RNA, 77 nt
Filed under: Chloroflexota bacterium
Lineage: Bacteria; Bacillati; Chloroflexota
Also listed under: 2 other names
Description: Chloroflexi bacterium tRNA-Pro
Rfam family: tRNA
About the family: Transfer RNA (tRNA) molecules are approximately 80 nucleotides in length. Their secondary structure includes four short double-helical elements and three loops (D, anti-codon, and T loops).
Source: RNAcentral
CGGGGAGUGGCGCAGCUUGGUAGCGCGCUUCGUUCGGGACGAAGAGGCCCCGGGUUCAAAUCCCGGCUCCCCGACCA